GAAAAAAAAAGAGGUUCAAGGAGGUGCCUUUUUGUAGAGUCUUCCCAGGAAAGUGAGGAGGAAGAAGAGCAGCAAACACAUGGGUCUCACCAAUCCCUAUCCAGACCGCCGGCUUCCAAGCGGAAGUUAUCUUCUCUUUCUAGUUCUUCGGAGGAUGAUAGUGGCCCGGAACGUCAGGAGGAAGAACAAGAAGAAGAAGAAGAACAACAACAAGGAGAAGGAGAAUUAUUCAUCCUACAAAGCCCAGUGAAGAACCCUCAAACAGAUUAGGCCACCAUGUGCAAGAUAGGGGCAGAUCCAUCCGCUGGCCACACCUACUUGGGCAGGCCAGUCCUUGUGAGCCAGAAGGACAUGAAGCUCCUAGAGGCGAAGGUGUCGCCGAGGGUCAAGAUGGUUAAGGCCAAGUGUUCCACUGUCAUGCUCAGCAGUUCGGAUGAUGAAGACAUUGAAGAGUCUGCGGUGUAUGAAUCCUUCAAAUUUGUUUAGUAUUCAUCGUUGCAUUUUGCCCAAUUUUUCUUGUUGUUGUUGUUGUUGUUGAAUUGUUCUUAUUG
This is a long non-coding RNA of Astyanax mexicanus (Mexican tetra), 551 nucleotides long. RefSeq lists it as uncharacterized. The transcript is spliced from 3 exons. The record is from RefSeq and is a predicted model, not a curated record. NCBI's taxonomy places the organism in Eukaryota, Metazoa, Chordata, Actinopteri, Characiformes, Acestrorhamphidae.